Molecule: non-coding RNA, 671 nt
Organism: Drosophila melanogaster (fruit fly)
Lineage: Eukaryota; Metazoa; Arthropoda; Insecta; Diptera; Drosophilidae
Source: Ensembl
GAAUAAUUUCAUUUUUGGUGCCUGAAUUAAACAUAAGCCAAAGGUCGUGAAAAUGCCAGUUGUGUGAGUUUUUCCAAUUAGGGAACUUCACACGCAGCCAGAGACAGCCAAAUGAAAGACAAGCGGAAAGCCAGCCAAAGGAAAUUUGUGAAAAUAUCAAUUUAGUUAAUUCGCUCGGCGAGAAGGCGAACAAAGUUAAAUAAAAGCGGAAAUCCAGCGCAGCAGUGCCAAAAGUACAACAAAACAUGGCAAAACAAAGCAGGGCAAACACAAAUACCAGCUCAAACAGUCGCUUCUCGGUAGUACAUACCACCAUGGUGGGCAAAUAGAGCACUGACUAUGUGAAAAGGAUGGAUGGUUGGCUGGUGGAUGGUUGCUAAGUGCUGGGGACCCACUGCACUUGCUACUGCAACUGCCACUGCCACUUGGCCAACUGCAUUUGCACUUGCAAUCGCUUGCUACUUUGCUUUGUCCUACGAAAUUCGUGGGCUAAAAAGGAUUGCUAGGAUGCAAUGGAGGUGUAAUGAUGACGCCCCAUGAAUACAAAUUUGGGCGAAAGGAAAAGUGCUAAAACAACUUUCAUUCAAGUUUUCGACUGACUGCGACUUAAGUGGCGUAAUCACAUUUUCCAAAAAUAGUUUUAAUGGGCUCGGAAUAAAAUUCAUUGCACU